This is a non-coding RNA of Pelobates cultripes (western spadefoot toad), 378 nucleotides long. Lineage: Eukaryota; Metazoa; Chordata; Amphibia; Anura; Pelobatidae. The record is from the annotation of a GenBank genome assembly.
CUCACAGGCAGUCACACACUCACACAGAGACAGUCACACACUCACAGACAGUCACACACUCACAGGCAGUCACACACUCACACAGGGACAGUCACACACUCACAGGCAGUCACACACUCACAGGCAGUCACACACUCACACAGUCACACACUCACAGACAGUCACACAGAGACAGUCACACACACACAGAGACAGUCACACACUCACAGGCAGUCACACACUCACAGGCAGUCACACAGAGACAGUCAAACACUCACAGGCAGUCACACAGAGACAGUCACACACACACAGUCACACACUCACACAGAGACAGUCACACACUCACAGGCAGUCACACAGAGACAGUCACACACUCACACAGACAGUCACACACUCACA